Molecule: ribosomal RNA, 549 nt
Filed under: uncultured fungus
Lineage: Eukaryota; Fungi
Description: eukaryotic LSU rRNA
Rfam family: 5.8S ribosomal RNA (bases 197-350)
Source: RNAcentral
CUCUGUAGGUGAACCUGCGGAGGGAUCAUUACACAAAUAUGAAGGCGGGCUGGAACCUCUCGGGGUUACAGCCUUGCUGAAUUAUUCACCCUUGUCUUUUGCGUACUUCUUGUUUCCUUGGUGGGUUCGCCCACCACUAGGACAAACAUAAACCUUUUGUAAUUGCAAUCAGCGUCAGUAACAAAUUAAUAAUUACAACUUUCAACAACGGAUCUCUUGGUUCUGGCAUCGAUGAAGAACGCAGCGAAAUGCGAUAAGUAGUGUGAAUUGCAGAAUUCAGUGAAUCAUCGAAUCUUUGAACGCACAUUGCGCCCUUUGGUAUUCCAAAGGGCAUGCCUGUUCGAGCGUCAUUUGUACCCUCAAGCUUUGCUUGGUGUUGGGCGUCUUGUCUCUAGCUUUGCUGGAGACUCGCCUUAAAGUAAUUGGCAGCCGGCCUACUGGUUUCGGAGCGCAGCACAAGUCGCACUCUCUAUCAGCAAAGGUCUAGCAUCCAUUAAGCCUUUUUUUUCAACUUUUGACCUCGGAUCAGGUAGGGAUACCCGCUGAACU